RNAcentral lists this ribosomal RNA (261 nucleotides) under Plasmodium vivax (malaria parasite P. vivax). Its description in RNAcentral is "partial small subunit ribosomal RNA". It matches the Rfam family "Eukaryotic small subunit ribosomal RNA", at positions 938 to 1167 of the family's 1831-position model. Lineage: Eukaryota; Apicomplexa; Aconoidasida; Haemosporida; Plasmodiidae. The record is from RNAcentral.
AACUGCGAUAGCAUUUGCCUAAAAUACUUCCAUUAAUCAAGAAGGCCUGUUAAGGGUGUGAAGACGAUCAGAUACCGUCGUAAUCUUAACCAUCAACUAUGCCGACUAGGCUUUGGAUGAGUGAUUUAAAAAUAAGGAUUUUCUCUUCGGAGUUUAUUCUUAGAUUGCUUCCUUCAGGGCCUUAUGAGAAAUCAGAGACUUUGGGUUCUGGGGCGGUUAAGCGCGCAUGCGAGAAAGUUAAAUGAGAUGAUGGAAAGGCAC